Molecule: ribosomal RNA, 906 nt
Filed under: Bacillus safensis
Lineage: Bacteria; Bacillati; Bacillota; Bacilli; Caryophanales; Bacillaceae
Description: bacterial SSU rRNA
Rfam family: Bacterial small subunit ribosomal RNA
Source: RNAcentral
AUACUGCAGUCGAGCGGACAGAAGGGAGCUUGCUCCCGGAUGUUAGCGGCGGACGGGUGAGUAACACGUGGGUAACCUGCCUGUAAGACUGGGAUAACUCCGGGAAACCGGAGCUAAUACCGGAUAGUUCCUUGAACCGCAUGGUUCAAGGAUGAAAGACGGUUUCGGCUGUCACUUACAGAUGGACCCGCGGCGCAUUAGCUAGUUGGUGGGGUAAUGGCUCACCAAGGCGACGAUGCGUAGCCGACCUGAGAGGGUGAUCGGCCACACUGGGACUGAGACACGGCCCAGACUCCUACGGGAGGCAGCAGUAGGGAAUCUUCCGCAAUGGACGAAAGUCUGACGGAGCAACGCCGCGUGAGUGAUGAAGGUUUUCGGAUCGUAAAGCUCUGUUGUUAGGGAAGAACAAGUGCGAGAGUAACUGCUCGCACCUUGACGGUACCUAACCAGAAAGCCACGGCUAACUACGUGCCAGCAGCCGCGGUAAUACGUAGGUGGCAAGCGUUGUCCGGAAUUAUUGGGCGUAAAGGGCUCGCAGGCGGUUUCUUAAGUCUGAUGUGAAAGCCCCCGGCUCAACCGGGGAGGGUCAUUGGAAACUGGGAAACUUGAGUGCAGAAGAGGAGAGUGGAAUUCCACGUGUAGCGGUGAAAUGCGUAGAGAUGUGGAGGAACACCAGUGGCGAAGGCGACUCUCUGGUCUGUAACUGACGCUGAGGAGCGAAAGCGUGGGGAGCGAACAGGAUUAGAUACCCUGGUAGUCCACGCCGUAAACGAUGAGUGCUAAGUGUUAGGGGGUUUCCGCCCCUUAGUGCUGCAGCUAACGCAUUAAGCACUCCGCCUGGGGAGUACGGUCGCAAGACUGAAACUCAAAGGAAUUGACGGGGGCCCGCACAAGCGGUGGAGCAUG